GUAGGUGAACCUGCGGAAGGAUCAUUACCGAGAUAUUGUCUCUGUCUGUGAAUAGCAGCGGGACAUCUCCCACCCUUUGUGUUACCAAUUUUUAUACUUUGGUGGAGCGUUUGAGCUUCUAGCAAGGCCAUCGACUUGUUCGCAAGAACAGUGGGUGAGUCUCUGCCAAAGGAACCACUUAACUCUUUUUUUGUUAAUACAACUUGUCUGAGUUUAUAAUAUCAAAAUAAACAAAACUUUCAACAACGGA
This 250-nucleotide unclassified non-coding RNA is filed under the name plant metagenome. RNAcentral describes it as "partial contains small subunit ribosomal RNA, internal transcribed spacer 1, and 5.8S ribosomal RNA". The record is from RNAcentral.